This 914-nucleotide long non-coding RNA is filed under the name Gopherus agassizii (Agassiz's desert tortoise). RNAcentral describes it as "lncRNA (ENSGAGG00000007359.1)". Lineage: Eukaryota; Metazoa; Chordata; Testudines; Testudinidae. The record is from RNAcentral.
AAGAGUUAAGGAAUUCACCGUCUCCUAGCAAUGGAGUGGAAACUAACCAAUCUGGGUGUACUUUCAGGUGAAGGAAGUGAAUCUAUCCUUUGCUGUCAAAGGCUACAAGCAGUUUCAGAAGAAUAAAGCAAGAUACAUAACCAAAGCGUCUGAGGUUACAGAAAUAUUCACUUGUUCCAAUCAAGACUAAGGAAACCACCUAUACCUACUAGAUUUUGAACAGUACAGCUGAUUGUAUGGAGAGAAAGAGAUAAACCAAUCCAGCAAUUCAUCAUGCAGAAAGUGAGUAUUUAUACUCCCUGUUACAAAAUGAAUCCAAUGACAAUUCAUUUACAUUUGUUGCCUGACAAAAAUAUGGUCUGUCAAACAUUGAUCUUUGCAGCAGGUCAUAUCUCGAGAUGCAAGGAUGACACGUGGCCGUAGGUUUUAGGAAGGAAUUGCUGAUCCAUUCUUUUAAGGAGGUGAAAUGAAGGUCUUACCAUUCAGAGAAGGAUGAUAAGAGGCUGCUGAAUUUAUGAAAAAUAGUCAGACAGGUAACAAUACCUGGCUAGAGGGAAAAGCAUUUUACUUCUAGUUCAGAAAAAGUCAAGCAGCAAUUUAUACGCUUCAGGUUUUAACCAGUGUAGCUGGCUGUACUGCUAAGAAUCAAAGCCUUGCGGUGGAACAUGACUGACAAGUAGGUUUUGCUCUUCUGAGAUAUGAAGAGACCAGGUGGUCAUUCCUACCAGGGAGAAGUGAGGCUCAGUGGCGUGGCUGUCCCGGGCAAGGAGGGGGAAAAAAAAUACAGCAAACAAAAAAAGCCACUUCAAAUAGUUCAGCCAGUAGCAAAUCUGAAUCAAGUCUGCAGACAUGGAGAUGAGAGAAAUGCAGCUGAGUUGAACGUUGAGGGCGUGAAAACUUCAGGAAGUUGCUAG